This 2519-nucleotide long non-coding RNA is filed under the name Helianthus annuus (common sunflower). RNAcentral's name for it is "hypothetical non coding rna". Lineage: Eukaryota; Viridiplantae; Streptophyta; Magnoliopsida; Asterales; Asteraceae. The record is from RNAcentral.
GUACACAAAUUAUUCAAUUUAUUCAAUGCAAUUAUAUAAUAUAUGAUUUUCAUAAAGUAACAGCAGAAGAAGUUAAUCUAACAGAAUAAAAAGCACAAUAAACCAGAGCAAAACAAGCACAAAGUUGAAGGUAAGAAACAGAUCGAGUGACAGUUUAAGUCGGUUGAAUCGAUCCGAUCAGCUGGAGUAACAACAAUGCUGAAGUGAAGUUGAUGCUUCGAAUAACCUAAUUGCGAAUAAUCUAACAGCUGCCGUCUGAGAUGACGGAGAAUGGCGGCCGGAGUUAAUAAUAGGAGAGAUGAGGACGGAGAAGCUUACCCUGCGCUACUGCUACCGCCGCCGCCGUCGCUAACUGAAUUUGCUCCACCGCCGGUGAGUGUGAGUGUGAGUGUGUGUGUGUGUGUGUGAAAAGUUGCCACUUUUAGACAAAGGGCAUGAUUCGCUGUUCAAGAUUAGGUUGCUCUUUACACUGUAAAUUUUAGACAAAAAGUAAACAAAUUAAAAUUUUACAUAGGGCAUGUUUGGGUUGAGAUAAAAUCAUAAAACAUUUACAUGUGAUUCCACAAUGGUACAAUGAUACUUCAGUGGUUCGUCAGUGAUCCAAAUUUUUCGUUUAAAAAAAAAGUAAAAAAGUAUAAAAUAUUACAUUGCGUUGAAAAAAUAAUUUUACUAAAGUAGUCUUUUUCAGAGAACCAAUGAGAGGCCGUCAAGCACGUCUCACCGUCUUAAACAGUUGUAGCUCAGUCGUUAUCACUUUUGACACAAAAUUUUAAUGCAAAACAUAGGUUGGGAUCACGCAAUAGCCUAUUAGGGUGUCCCUGUUCAAUCGAUAGACGACAAACAUCCACGUAGGAUUUGUUACGAAUCAACCGUCGUAAUGAAAUCAGGUUUCUUUUUCUUUUGAACUUGGCUUCGUUUAUCAACUCAACUUGCCAUUUUAAUUAAAAUACAUAUUAGUCGGCUUAGCCAAAAAAAAUUAAUCAACGAUCGGCUGAGCAUGAUAAUUUAAAAAAAAAUGAAUAGGUAACAAUUAUUUGUGUUAUAUAAAUAUCCAAUGACCAAUUUCACUCUUCACAUGUGACAUUAUAGUUCGGUGACUAACGACCAACUUCAAAGAUUGAUUUUUGAAAGUUAACGACUUAGCCUUCAUUUAUAAACCAAAGGGCUUAUAUUCUAUACUUGUUCAAAUUAGGGGGUUCAUCUCUAAGUUUGUUGUUCAAAAACUCAAAAUUUAUAAAUAAAAAUUCAAAAAGUUCUGGUGACCGGAGGGUCAACGGACCCUCUUGACCCCCCUCUGGUUCCGCCCCUAUGUAGUACGAUUGAGUUGACAAGAGGUUCUUGCCAUUAAGUUGCUAACUCAAUAUGUUAUAUAUGUUCAAAGUACCAUAUUUUUAUAUUUCUAUUGUAUUUUGUAUUAUUUAUUUUAAUUUGGAAGGCCCUAGUUAAGUGGAGGCCUAAAGCAAUUGCUUAGGGUCACUCUCUCUUUAGUCGGCUCUACUAAUUACUCUGCUUGUGAUUGGCAUUUGAGAUUAUGUUUGGAAGUUGGAAGGCAAAACUGAUUUAAAGAAUAAAUUUUAGACCGUAUUUGAUUAUUUGUAUUAUUAGAUAUUGGCGUCUUGCAGUUGGCUAUUGGUCUAUUGAUAUUUGUUUGAGAAUUUGAUACAUAUUAGUUAUCAAACAAAAUUUGCUUAGGGAAUUUUAGAUUUGCUAUUACAUUUGCUUGGGGAAUUUUCUAUUAAUCCUGUUGUUUUUCUCAAAAAGUAAUUGAUAUUUUACCUAUGUCAAAUUGAAAGCGAACUUAUGCAUCCGGUUACGUAAAAAGAGAAAAAAGCGUAAACAAGUAGCUUUAAUUCAAACACAAAAGGGAUCACAUGCUAUAAUGUUUAACUAGUUUCUAAUCCAAAGUAGAUGCAAGUUUUUUUGUGAAAUUAUACAAAUUCAAAUGGCCUCCACUUUUUAUUUCGCUUAGAGCCUCCAAAAACAUUGGAAUGACCAUGCGCUUCCGUUUCUUGCUCGACGACUGUUACAUCCAUAUGUGGGGAAAGUUUAAAAAGUUUUGCUGCCGGAAACUCCUUAAAAAGAUUUUGUGUUAGAUCGUAAGUGACGACCGCUUAGAAACUCAUAAGGCUAUGUCCAUUCAUAACCUUCUCCAACCCAACCUUUUAAUAAAAAAAAAACUAGUUUUUCUCUCUUUCACCUACACAACCCAACCUAACCCAACCUUUAAAAUGUAUUAGAAAUAAUUAAAAUAAAUAUUUUCGUUUGAAACCGAUUUAUUUUAAAUGUAAAACAAAUAGCAACAAUAAAAGAAAUAUUUUAAUUAAAAAAACACACACAUUCAACAAACACACUUAAUAAAAAAGACAAACAAGUUACAACCAUCACAUGGAAUGUAAAAUUAUAGAUACAUAAUAUACAAACUACAUUAUUAUUCGUCGACUGCAGAUUUGUGCCAUAAGAUAGAAAAUCAUGAGUAUUGUAUGAAAUCAAAAGAGAAUAAGAUAGAGAAUUAAAAGUGG